GCGCGAUUAGCUCAGCUGGAUAGAGCGUUGGCCUCCGGAGCCAAAGGCCAGAGGUUCGAAUCCUCUAUCGCGCG
This 74-nucleotide transfer RNA is filed under the name Pyxidicoccus fallax. It matches the Rfam family "tRNA". From Rfam's summary of the family: Transfer RNA (tRNA) molecules are approximately 80 nucleotides in length. Their secondary structure includes four short double-helical elements and three loops (D, anti-codon, and T loops). Lineage: Bacteria; Pseudomonadati; Myxococcota; Myxococcia; Myxococcales; Myxococcaceae. RNAcentral also lists the same sequence under 4 other names. The record is from Rfam by way of RNAcentral.